AGUGAACGCUGGCGGUGGGCCUAACACAUGCAAGUCGAACGGCAGCACAGUAAGAGCUUGCUCUUACGGGUGGCGAGUGGCGGACGGGUGAGGAAUACAUCGGAAUCUACUUUUUCGUGGGGGAUAACGUAGGGAAACUUACGCUAAUACCGCAUACGACCUACGGGUGAAAGCAGGGGAUCUUCGGACCUUGCGCGAUUGAAUGAGCCGAUGUCGGAUUAGCUAGUUGGCGGGGUAAAGGCCCACCAAGGCGACGAUCCGUAGCUGGUCUGAGAGGAUGAUCAGCCACACUGGAACUGAGCCACGGUCCAGACUCCUACGGGAGGCAGCAGUGGGGAAUAUUGGACAAUGGGCGCAAGCCUGAUCCAGCCAUACCGCGUGGGUGAAGAAGGCCUUCGGGUUGUAAAGCCCUUUUGUUGGGAAAGAAAAGCAGCAGGUUAAUACCCCGCUGUUCUGACGGUACCCAAAGAAUAAGCACCGGCUAACUUCGUG
This 492-nucleotide ribosomal RNA is filed under the name uncultured bacterium. Its description in RNAcentral is "partial 16S ribosomal RNA". It matches the Rfam family "Bacterial small subunit ribosomal RNA", at positions 29 to 507 of the family's 1533-position model. The record is from RNAcentral.